AUCCUGGCUCAGGAUGAACGCUGGCGGCGUGCUUAACACAUGCAAGUCGAACGGAGGACCCUUGACGGAGUUUUCGGACAACAGAUAGGAAUCCUUAGUGGCGGACGGGUGAGUAACGCGUGAGGAACCUGCCUUGGAGAGGGGAAUAACACAGAGAAAUUUGUGCUAAUACCGCAUGAUGCAGUUGGGUCGCAUGGCUCUGACUGCCAAAGAUUUAUCGCUCUGAGAUGGCCUCGCGUCUGAUUAGCUUGUUGGCGGGGUAACGGCCCACCAAGGCGACGAUCAGUAGCCGGACUGAGAGGUUGGCCGGCCACAUUGGGACUGAGACACGGCCCAGACUCCUACGGGAGGCAGCAGUGGGGAAUAUUGGGCAAUGGGCGCAAGCCUGACCCAGCAACGCCGCGUGAAGGAAGAAGGCUUUCGGGUUGUAAACUUCUUUUAUGUGGGACGAAACAAAUGACGGUACCACAUGAAUAAGCUCCGGCUAACUACGUGCC
This 497-nucleotide ribosomal RNA is filed under the name uncultured organism. Its description in RNAcentral is "SSU rRNA". It matches the Rfam family "Bacterial small subunit ribosomal RNA", at positions 16 to 509 of the family's 1533-position model. The record is from RNAcentral.